Molecule: ribosomal RNA, 894 nt
Filed under: uncultured bacterium
Lineage: Bacteria
Description: bacterial SSU rRNA
Rfam family: Bacterial small subunit ribosomal RNA
Source: RNAcentral
AGAGUUUGAUCAUGGCUCAGAUUGAACGCUGGCGGCACGCUUAACACAUGCAAGUCGGACGGCAGCACAGGUACUUGUACCGGGUGGCGAGUGGCGGACGGGUGAGUAAUGCUUAGGAAUCUACCGCGAAGUGGGGGACAACACGGGGAAACUCGUGCUAAUACCGCAUAUGUUCUUCGGAAUAAAGAUGGCCUCUAUUUAUAAGCUAUCGCUUUGUGAUGAGCCUAAGUCGGAUUAGCUUGUUGGUGGGGUAAAGGCCCACCAAGGCGACGAUCCGUAGCUGGUCUGAGAGGAUGAUCAGCCACACUGGGACUGAGACACGGCCCAGACUCCUACGGGAGGCAGCAGUGGGGAAUAUUGGACAAUGGGGGCAACCCUGAUCCAGCGAUGCCGCGUGUGUGAAGAAGGCCUGCGGGUUGUAAAGCACUUUAGUUGGGGAGGAGAUGCUGUUUGUGAAUAAUGGACAGCUGAGACGUUACCCAAAGAAUAAGCACCGGCUAACUCUGUGCCAGCAGCCGCGGUAAUACAGAGGGUGCGAGCGUUAAUCGGAGUUACUGGGCGUAAAGGGCGCGUAGGCGGUUAUUUAAGUCAGUUGUGAAAGCCCAGGGCUCAACCUUGGAACUGCAAUUGAUACUGGGUAACUAGAGUCGAAGAGGGGGAAGCGGAAUUUCCGGUGUAGCGGUGAAAUGCGUAGAUAUCGGAAGGAACACCCGUGGCGAAGGCGGCUUCCUGGAUUCAGACUGACGCUGAGGCGCGAAAGCGUGGGGAGCAACAGGAUUAGAUACCCUGGUAGUCCACGCUGUAAACGAUGAGUACUAGCUGUUGGGGGCAAUGUCCCUUCAGUAGCGCAGCUACGCACUAAGUACUCCGNCUGGGAUUACGGCCGCAAGGCUA